GAAUACGGUCUGGAGCUUCAAUCCACUAUUCGCAGAAGACAAGGUGGUGAAAAUGGUCUUGCAAUUGAGGUUAGGAAAUAUCUGACCUCUAGGAAGAUGGCAAACAAGGCAAUCAAAAAGGCCUUGACCAAUUUGAAGGGUUUAGAGAACAAAUGCUCCUUCUCCUGCAUUGACACAGGAAAUGAGAUUGCAACCUUGGUUAAUUUGUUAAGAGAGGUUCAAGCAAUCACUCUCUGUGUCUUGAAAUCCUUCUUGACUUUCAUCUCUGGCCCAAAGGCACAGUCCAAGCCAAGCCACUGGUCCUUGGUCUCCAAGCUUGUCCUCCACAAAAGAAUAGCAUCUGAGGAAGGAGAAACGCAGGAGAAUGAAUUUGUAAUGGCGGAUGCUGCAUUGGAAUUUCUUGUGGGAUGCAAGACUGAGUGCAAAUAUGAUAAUUAC
Molecule: unclassified non-coding RNA, 438 nt
Filed under: Hevea brasiliensis (rubber tree)
Lineage: Eukaryota; Viridiplantae; Streptophyta; Magnoliopsida; Malpighiales; Euphorbiaceae
Source: RNAcentral